RNAcentral lists this transfer RNA (92 nucleotides) under Bacteroidota bacterium. RNAcentral describes it as "tRNA-Ser". It matches the Rfam family "tRNA". Rfam says of the family: Transfer RNA (tRNA) molecules are approximately 80 nucleotides in length. Their secondary structure includes four short double-helical elements and three loops (D, anti-codon, and T loops). Lineage: Bacteria; Pseudomonadati; Bacteroidota. RNAcentral also lists the same sequence under 1 other name. The record is from RNAcentral.
GGAGAGAUGGGUGAGUGGCUGAAACCACCGGUUUGCUAAACCGACAUACGCUGCAAAGUGUAUCGAGGGUUCGAAUCCCUCUCCCUCCGCCA